This 1369-nucleotide ribosomal RNA is filed under the name Prionitis cornea. RNAcentral's name for it is "Grateloupia cornea SSU rRNA". It matches the Rfam family "Bacterial small subunit ribosomal RNA". Lineage: Eukaryota; Rhodophyta; Florideophyceae; Halymeniales; Halymeniaceae. The record is from RNAcentral.
AAUUAAAAGAGUUUGAUCCUGGCUCAGAAUGAACGUUUAUAGUUGGCUUAACACAUGCAAAUUAAAUAAAUUUGUUUUAUUACAAAUUAAUAGUGAACGGGUGAGUAACGUAUAGAAAUUAACCUCAAGAAAUUGCUUAACACAUGCAAAAAAUGUUUGUCUUGAGAAAAGUCUAUAUAAGAUUAGGUUGUUGGUUAAUUAAAAACUUAUCAAGCCUACGAUCUUUAGUUGGUCUUUGAGGAUGAACAACCACAUUGGAACUGAGAACGGUCCAAACUUCAUUUGAAGGCAGCAGUGGGGAAUUUUGGGCAAUGAGCGGAAGCUUGACCCAGCUAAACUAUGUGAGUGAUGAAAAUGUAUAAUUGUAAAGCUCUUUACUAAACAAAAUACUGAUUUGUUUAAGAAAAGUCCUGGCUAAUUCCGUGCCAGCAGCCGCGGUAAAACGGGAAGGGCAAACGUUACUCGGAUUAAUUGGGCGUAAAGCAUAUGUAGGUGGAAAAUUAAGUUCCGAUUCAAAUUUUAAAUUUUAUUUUUAAAAAGAUCGUUAAACUGAUUUUCUAGAGUUCAGAAGAAGGUUAUGGAACUUUAAAUGUAACAGUAAAAUGUGUUGAUAUUUAAAAGAACCUCAAUGGCGAAGGCAAUAAUCUAGGCUGACACUGACACUGAGAUAUUAAAGCGUGGGUAGCAAAAGGGAUUAGAUACCCCUGUAGUCCACGCCCUGAACGAUGAGUGCUAACUUUUGAAUUAAUUUUCAAAAGUAAAACUAACGUGUUUAGCACUCCGCCUGGGGACUACGAUCGCAAGAUUAAAACUCAAAGGAAUUGACGGGGACCUACACAAGCAGUGGAGCAUGUGGUUUAAAUCGAUAAUACGCGCGAAAUCUUACCAAUUUUUGAAUAACAUUAGUUACAGGUGUUGCAUGGCUGUCGUCAGUCCGUGCUGUGAAGCGUUUGGUUUAUUCCAAUAAACGGACGAAACUCUUGUAAGUUACAAAACUUAAACUGUUAAGGACAUCUUAAAGGAAGGCGAGAACGACGUCAAGUCCUCAUGACCCUAAUAAAUUGGGCUACUUUCAUGUGCUACAAUAGUUUUUUCAAAAAGUAGCGAAAAUGUAAGUUUUAGCAAAACUUAAAAUAAAACUAUACUCGAAUUGUUUUCUGAAACUCGAAAACAUGAAGUUGGAAUUGCUAGUAAUCGUAAAUAAGAAUGUUACGGUGAAUACGUUCUUAGGUCUUGUACACACCGCCCGUCACGCUAUGGAAAUUUAUUUUAUUUGAAGAUUACAAAGUAAUUUAUGGUAAAAUAAAAGACUGAAGUGAAGUCGUAACAAGGUAGCCGUAGGGGAACCUGCGGCUGGAAAAUUUAAAAU